UAUUCGUUUGAUUAAUUAACAUAUUAAUUAAUUCUUGCCAUAAACAAUUAAACCAUUUAAUUGUCCUUACUAAUCUCCGUUGUUUCUUCAAUCUCAACCUUUACGGUGUACAAUCCAUUAGGUUCCCUUUAGCGAGGCAGUGGGCGAUUAGAACUCUUUCAAAUUGAUUGUGAAUUGAAACUUACGUUCAAUUCUCCCUUUAGUGAUUAUACACGUUUAGGGCUCCACAAACCAUGAGUGACGCCUAGCAGUAUGUCAUGAUUACCCAAGCUAAUCAGAAGAGGUGGAGAACUUAUUUAGUUUAGGAUUACAAUGCAAUUCGGUCUUUCUCUAAUACAAUACUCUUGACCACAUUGUUUGGUUUGAUAGUUUAUUCAUGUCUACUAUCCAAUGUGAUUCUCUUACUUAUAUGAUUACCUUGAAUGUGAUUUGGAACGACUUCCAAAAUCUUAUUCAUACUCUGGCCAGAGAUUCUUAAUCAUAUCAUAGAGUAUUCUCCCUCAAACAGUUUCAAGGUUAGAGAUCCCUUGUUGCGCAUUCACUUGCCUCCAUGGCUAAGUGGCUUCACCCCAACUAUGUCAUGGACUCCCUCUGACGGAAUGACUUUGACAUAGUCAAAGAUCAAGGACCUAACCACAAGACAACUAUGAUGCCUUAGGUCAAAGGACUACUAUGCAUUAUCCCAACCAUGAGUUCUCAUGUGACAUGAGUAUGAGAACUCCUUGUUGAUCGUGUUCAGUGGACUCAUUCUCUAUUGAGCACCUACAUGCUUGUCUUGGUGUCAGUCACACCAAUGACUCGAGACCAGUCACUCUCCCUAAGAGAAGAUAUAACGCGUACUGAUCUUAACGGACUGUCAGUGCCCAAUUCGCAAUCCGAUGAUCAUGAACGUUUAGGAUAUGUAUACGGAAGAGAAUGGUCUCAUGAAUCUAACUUCUUUAGAUCGCAUUCUCCCAAUUACAUAUUCCUUGGACUUAUCGUUUAAGCGUAUAACAUUUAUAUGAGAUGGCUUCAAACAAUAAUCUUUGCCCUUAAAUUAAACUAUAUUAGUUUAACAUGUGAAAUGUCCGUAAAGUAUCAUCAUAUGAUUGGUUUAGGGCACAUUUCCAACAAUCUCCCACUUGCACUAGAGCCAAUCAGCUUGGUCAUCAAUGAUGAUACCUCUUCUGUAGUCAUUUCAAAAAUGGCUGAGUAGUAGGCCUAGACAAUGGAUAUCUAUAUGUUAUCCAUAGAAGCAACCUUGAGAAUAAUGAUGUCACCAUUAUACAUGAUUCUAAAUCAUGUGGUUUAGUCUCUCAUUUAAGUUCGAAUCUUGAUGAGACCUUGAUUCCCUGGCUUGAGCUAUCACCCCAUUAGUGUCAUAGUGUCGGUACACUAGAGACACUUUCUGGUUGAAACUGAAUAGAGAGUUCAUAAAUGAACUUUCCCAUCCAAACAACAUUGUUGUAAGCUUCUAUAUGACAAUAUAUUUUGCAUUCACAAUGGAACACACUAAAGUCAUUACUUUUAAUGUUUCCAUCCAAAUAUCUCUUUAGUCAUAAUAAAAGGAUAUCUGAUUAUCUCUUCAUUCAUAAUGAAGAAACAUCCAAUGAUAGAUUAGAUUCAUAAUCUAAUACAUUUACGCUUCCAUUACGUUACUCUAAUUCUUCCUCAUUCUUUGAGGAAUAUAUCCUUUAGUAUUUCUUAAAUACUUAAGGACUCGCUUGACAGUUGCCAUGGUUCUGAUCCUGGGCUUGCAUUGAUAUCGUCUUGUAGGGAUCUUCGUACAACUCAUAACAAUGUUUUUCAUACAAUAUGAAAUACGUAAAUCACCUUUCUGCGUAUGCAUAAAGGAUUCUAUUUAUGCAUUAUGUUUCUUUAGGAGUCAAAAGGGUACGUUCCCUUUGAGAAGAGCAACUUCCUAGUCUCACUAGAGUUGUCCUUCUGAUUAAAGUUUAUCAUCAUAUGAGAAACUUCCUAGCAUCUUUUGUCUAUCAUUAGGGCUUGAUAUAAUCCAAUUUUAUCCUGAAAUCUAUCAUUAUAGAUUUCCAUCCCAUGUUUAUAGACUAUGUCUCCCAUAUACAUUCUAUCGUUAUAGAAUGUUUAAAGUCAUAACUUUAACGAAGAAGUAUUCUUUUCAUUUCCAAAAUUAAUAUAUCAUAUAUGUACAUAUAUAUAUAUAUAUAUAUAUAUUCAAAUUUAGGAACAUGAUUAACUCCCACUAAUCUUUUGUAAACAUAGUAAACAAAAUAUUCAUUUACAUCUUUAUGAGAAAUCAAACAAUUUGAUCUUUCUCUCAUAAGAUACUUAUAGCUCCCACUAGCUUGCUAAGAUUCAUUAUGGAUGGAUCUGUUGGAAAUGUGCCCUAAAACCAAUCAUAUGAUGAUACUUUACGGACAUUUCACAUGUUAAACUAAUAUAGUUUAAUUUAAAGGGCAAAGAUUAUUGUUUGAAGCCAUCUUAUAUAAAUGUUAUACGCUUAAACGAUAAGUCCAAGGAAUAUGUAAUUGGGAGAAUGCGAUCUAAAGAAGUUAGAUUCAUGAGACCAUUCUCUUCCAUAUACAUAUCCUAAACGUUCCUGAUCAUAGGAUUGCAAAUUGCGCGUUGAUAGUUUGUUAAGAUCAGUACAUGUUAUGUCUUCUCUUACGGAGAGUGACUGGUCUCGAGUCAUUGGUGUGACUAACACCAAGACAAGCAUGUAGGUGCUCAAUAGAGAAUGAGUCCACUAAACACGAUCAACAAGGAGUUCUCAUACUCAUGUCACAUGAAAACUCAUGGUUGGGAUAAUGCAAAGUAGUCCUUCGACCUGAGGCAUCAUAGUUGUCUUGUGGUUAGGUCCUUGAUCUUUGACUAUGUCAAAGUCACUCCAUCAGAGGGUGUCCACGACAUAGUUGGGGUUAAGCCACUUAGCCAUGAAGGCAAGUGAAUGCG
Molecule: long non-coding RNA, 2910 nt
Filed under: Malus domestica (apple)
Lineage: Eukaryota; Viridiplantae; Streptophyta; Magnoliopsida; Rosales; Rosaceae
Description: long non-coding RNA (MDOM_LNC013346)
Source: RNAcentral